CGCGGUGCGGGGGUCGGCGGCGCUGCGACCGGGGUCGCGGGCGGCAUCGGCGAUCGCCGGAGCGCGCCAGACGUGACAGGGCAGGCUCAGUCAUGUCGGGGUCCCGGUACUCGAAAUCGUCCUUCUCCUACACGUCAUCAAGAUCGACGGCGCGCUCAUCAGGCUUUGUCUCAGAGCUGAGCUCCGCUGUGAGCAAGGCCGGCUCCAAGGUGACGUCGGAGAAUGUGCACCAGUCCGGGGAGGUGAUGGUGCACGAGGAGGCGUCGGAGAUCAGCACCUCGUCCACGACGG
This is a long non-coding RNA of Pollicipes pollicipes, 291 nucleotides long. RefSeq lists it as uncharacterized. NCBI's taxonomy places the organism in Eukaryota, Metazoa, Arthropoda, Thecostraca, Pollicipedomorpha, Pollicipedidae. The transcript is spliced from 3 exons. The record is from RefSeq and is a predicted model, not a curated record.